UACGUAGGGUGCGAGCGUUGUCCGGAAUUAUUGGGCGUAAAGAGCUUGUAGGCGGUUUGUCGCGUCUGCUGUGAAAAUCCGGGGCUCAACCCCGGACUUGCAGUGGGUACGGGCAGACUAGAGUGUGGUAGGGGAGACUGGAAUUCCUGGUGUAGCGGUGGAAUGCGCAGAUAUCAGGAGGAACACCGAUGGCGAAGGCAGGUCUCUGGGCCGACUACUGA
This 221-nucleotide ribosomal RNA is filed under the name uncultured bacterium. RNAcentral describes it as "partial 16S ribosomal RNA". It matches the Rfam family "Bacterial small subunit ribosomal RNA", at positions 524 to 743 of the family's 1533-position model. The record is from RNAcentral.